UACGAAGGGGGCUAGCGUUGUUCGGAAUCACUGGGCGUAAAGGGCGCGUAGGCGGCUUUAUAAGUCGGGGGUGAAAGCCUGUGGCUCAACCACAGAAUUGCCUUCGAUACUGUAGAGCUUGAGACCGGAAGAGGUAAGUGGAACUGCGAGUGUAGAGGUGAAAUUCGUAGAUAUUCGCAAGAACACCGAUAGCGAAGGCAGCUUACUAAAGAGUAACUGACGCUGAGGCACGAAAGUGUGGGGAUCAAACAGG
Molecule: ribosomal RNA, 253 nt
Filed under: uncultured bacterium
Lineage: Bacteria
Description: partial 16S ribosomal RNA
Rfam family: Bacterial small subunit ribosomal RNA
Source: RNAcentral